Molecule: non-coding RNA, 163 nt
Filed under: Struthio camelus australis
Lineage: Eukaryota; Metazoa; Chordata; Aves; Struthioniformes; Struthionidae
Description: Eukaryotic large subunit ribosomal RNA
Rfam family: Eukaryotic large subunit ribosomal RNA
Source: Rfam by way of RNAcentral
GAUAACUGGCUUUGAUGACUAAGCAAGCGUUCAUAGCACCAUUGCUGUUUGAUCCUUCCAUAUUGGCUCUUCCUGCCACUGUGAAGCAGAAUUCACCAAGCCUUGGAUUGCGCCCCCACUAAUAGGGAACGGGAGCGAGGUCUAGACCAUCGUGAGACGGAUU